This 440-nucleotide ribosomal RNA is filed under the name uncultured bacterium. RNAcentral describes it as "bacterial SSU rRNA". It matches the Rfam family "Bacterial small subunit ribosomal RNA", at positions 339 to 796 of the family's 1533-position model. The record is from RNAcentral.
CUACGGGAGGCAGCAGUGGGGAAUAUUGCACAAUGGAGGAAACUCUGAUGCAGCAACGCCGCGUGGAGGAUGACGCAUUUCGGUGUGUAAACUCCUUUUAUAAGGGAAGAUAAUGACGGUACCUUAUGAAUAAGCACCGGCUAACUCCGUGCCAGCAGCCGCGGUAAUACGGAGGGUGCAAGCGUUACUCGGAAUCACUGGGCGUAAAGGAUGCGUAGGCUGGAAAUCAAGUCGAGAGUGAAAUCCAACGGCUCAACCGUUGAACUGCUCUCGAAACUGGUUACCUAGAAUAUGGGAGAGGUAGAUGGAAUUGGUGGUGUAGGGGUAAAAUCCGUAGAUAUCACCAGGAAUACCGAUUGCGAAGGCGAUCUACUGGAACAUUAUUGACGCUGAGGCAUGAAAGCGUGGGGAGCAAACAGGAUUAGAAACCCGAGUAGUCC